Molecule: long non-coding RNA, 604 nt
Filed under: Hordeum vulgare
Lineage: Eukaryota; Viridiplantae; Streptophyta; Magnoliopsida; Poales; Poaceae
Description: long non-coding RNA (HVUL_LNC003402)
Source: RNAcentral
ACAUCUAGGGUUUUGCCUCGUCUCACAACUUGCACGCCAUCGUAGUCUACCUCAUCCCGAGCGCUGGCGUCCAACGGCGAACGGAAGAUCAGGUCUCCGAAACCAGGCGCCUUUGUGAUCCUGUAUGGGAGAGGGCGAAUUAGGUUUUUGGAAAGCGCUCUGCGCGACUGCUUGCUGCUUCCACAAUGGGUCGUCUACCUAGCAUGUCGGGCGGUGAUGCGUACCGCCGCCUCAAGCGUCGUCUACUUUGUCCCGUCAUCGUCAACGUCAUCGUCAACAACAUAGCUGCACCGAACACAUAUGUUUCAUCUACAAACGUUCGCUACGUGCUCGUGUUUCCGUUGGCGUGAUGAACAUGUUAGAUGCGUACAUGUUUUUCUAUACGGUGUUGCUGCUAUUCAUGUUGUCUACUGCAUCUAGUAUGUUAGAGUUUCACAUGUUAGUAGCUAGUAUGGUCAUGUUUUAUAUUCUGAAAUUAAUCUGAAAAUUGUGCCUAAUUACUCAACAGAAAAGGCUUAUAUUUCAAUAGCAACAAGCGAAUAUCCACGUGAUUGUGUUGUUUGCUCCAAUAAUAAAGUCAGUGUUGUAGCGAGUAAUAUACAAG